GUGAGGAAUAUUGGUCAAUGGGCGGGAGCCUGAACCAGCCAAGUCGUGUGAAGGAAGAAGGAUCUAUGGUUCGUAAACUUCUUUUGCAGGGGAAUAAAGUGCAGGACGUGUCCUGUUUUGUAUGUACCCUGAGAAUAAGGAUCGGCUAACUCCGUGCCAGCAGCCGCGGUAAUACGGAGGAUCCGAGCGUUAUCCGGAUUUAUUGGGUGUAAAGGGCGCGUAGUUGGUUUGAUAAGUCAGCGGUGAAAGUUUGCAGCUUAACUGUAAAAAUGCCGUUGAAACUGUCGGACUUGAGUGUAAAUGAGGUAGGCGGAAUGCGUGGUGUAGCGGUGAAAUGCAUAGAUAUCACGCAGAACUCCGAUUGCGAAGGCAGCUUACUAAGCUACAACUGACACUGAAGCACGAAAGCGUGGGGAUCAAACAGGAUUAGAUACCCCAGUAGUCC
Molecule: ribosomal RNA, 445 nt
Filed under: uncultured bacterium
Lineage: Bacteria
Description: partial 16S ribosomal RNA
Rfam family: Bacterial small subunit ribosomal RNA
Source: RNAcentral